This 252-nucleotide ribosomal RNA is filed under the name uncultured prokaryote. Its description in RNAcentral is "partial 16S ribosomal RNA". It matches the Rfam family "Bacterial small subunit ribosomal RNA", at positions 524 to 775 of the family's 1533-position model. The record is from RNAcentral.
UACGUAGGGUGCGAGCGUUGUCCGGAAUUAUUGGGCGUAAAGGGCUCGUAGGCGGUUUGUCGCGUCGGGAGUGAAAACACUGGGCUUAACCGAGUGCUUGCUUUCGAUACGGGCAGACUUGAGGCAUUCAGGGGAGAACGGAAUUCCUGGUGUAGCGGUGAAAUGCGCAGAUAUCAGGAGGAACACCGGUGGCGAAGGCGGUUCUCUGGGAAUGUUCUGACGCUGAGGAGCGAAAGUGUGGGGAGCGAACAG